RNAcentral lists this ribosomal RNA (398 nucleotides) under uncultured Hymenobacter sp. RNAcentral describes it as "bacterial SSU rRNA". It matches the Rfam family "Bacterial small subunit ribosomal RNA", at positions 975 to 1375 of the family's 1533-position model. Lineage: Bacteria; Pseudomonadati; Bacteroidota; Cytophagia; Cytophagales; Hymenobacteraceae. The record is from RNAcentral.
CAAGGUUUGACAUGCAGGGAAAAGCCGUAGAGAUAUGGUGUCCGUAAGGGUCCUGCACAGGUGGUGCAUGGCUGUCGUCAGCUCGUGUCGUGAGAUGUUGGGUUAAGUCCCGCAACGAGCGCAACCCUCGUCCUAUGUUGCCAGCGGAUAAUGCCGGGGACUCAUAGGAGACUGCCGGGGUCAACUCGGAGGAAGGUGGGGAUGACGUCAAGUCCUCAUGGCCCUUAUAGGUGGGGCUACACACGUCAUACAGUGGCUGGUACAGAGGGUUGCCAACCCGCGAGGGGGAGCUAAUCCCAUAAAGCCAGUCGUAGUCCGGAUCGCAGUCUGCAACUCGACUGCGUGAAGUCGGAAUCGCUAGUAAUCGCGGAUCAGAAUGUCGCGGUGAAUACGUUCCC